GCGGCAAGACGGAAAGACCCCGUGAACCUUUACUAUAGCUUGACACUGAACAUUGAGCCUUGAUGUGUAGGAUAGGUGGGAGGCUUUGAAGUGUGGACGCCAGUCUGCAUGGAGCCGGCCUUGAAAUACCACCCUUUAAUGUUUGAUGUUCUAACGUGGACCCGUGAUCCGGGUUGCGGACAGUGUCUGGUGGGUAGUUUGACUGGGGCGGUCUCCUCCUAAAGAGUAACGGAGGAGCACGAAGGUUGGCUAAUCCUGGUCGGACAUCAGGAGGUUAGUGCAAUGGCAUAAGCCAGCUUGACUGCGAGCGUGACGGCGCGAGCAGGUGCGAAAGCAGGUCAUAGUGAUCCGGUGGUUCUGAAUGGAAGGGCCAUCGCUCAACGGAUAAAAGGUACUCCGGGGAUAACAGGCUGAUACCGCCCAAGAGUUCAUAUCGACGGCGGUGUUUGGCACCUCGAUGUCGGCUCAUCACAUCCUGGGGCUGAAGUAGGUCCCAAGGGUAUGGCUGUUCGCCAUUUAAAGUGGUACGCGAGCUGGGUUUAGAACGUCGUGAGACAGUUCGGUCCCUAUCUGCCGUGGGCGCUGGAGAACUGAGGGGGGCUGCUCCUAGUACGAGAGGACCGGAGUGGACGCAUCACUGGUGUUCGGGUUGUCAUGCCAAUGGCACUGCCCGGUAGCUAAAUGCGGAAGAGAUAAGUGCUGAAAGCAUCUAAGCACGAAACUUGCCCCGAGAUGAGUUCUCCCUGACCCUUUAAGGGUCCUGAAGGAACGUUGAAGACGACGACGUUGAUAGGCCGGGUGUGUAAGCGCAGCGAUGCGUUGAGCUAACCGGUACUAAUGAACCGUGAGG
This 850-nucleotide ribosomal RNA is filed under the name Shigella sonnei. Its description in RNAcentral is "partial 23S ribosomal RNA". It matches the Rfam family "Bacterial large subunit ribosomal RNA", at positions 2072 to 2916 of the family's 2925-position model. Lineage: Bacteria; Pseudomonadati; Pseudomonadota; Gammaproteobacteria; Enterobacterales; Enterobacteriaceae. The record is from RNAcentral.